This 529-nucleotide ribosomal RNA is filed under the name uncultured bacterium. Its description in RNAcentral is "bacterial SSU rRNA". It matches the Rfam family "Bacterial small subunit ribosomal RNA", at positions 980 to 1509 of the family's 1533-position model. The record is from RNAcentral.
UUUGACAUGGCAGGAACUUACCAGAGAUGGUUUGGUGCUCGAAAGAGAACCUGCACACAGGUGCUGCAUGGCUGUCGUCAGCUCGUGUCGUGAGAUGUUGGGUUAAGUCCCGCAACGAGCGCAACCCUUGCCAUUAGUUGCUACAUUCAGUUGAGCACUCUAAUGGGACUGCCGGUGACAAACCGGAGGAAGGUGGGGAUGACGUCAAGUCCUCAUGGCCCUUAUAGGUGGGGCUACACACGUCAUACAAUGGCUGGUACAAAGGGUUGCCAACCCGCGAGGGGGAGCUAAUCCCAUAAAGCCAGUCGUAGUCCGGAUCGCAGUCUGCAACUCGACUGCGUGAAGUCGGAAUCGCUAGUAAUCGUGGAUCAGAAUGUCACGGUGAAUACGUUCCCGGGUCUUGUACACACCGCCCGUCACACCAUGGGAGCGGGUCUCGCCAGAAGUAGGUAGCCUAACCGCAAGGAGGGCGCUUACCACGGCGGGGUUCGUGACUGGGGUGAAGUCGUAACAAGGUAAGCGUAGUGCU